CGAAAACGAAUUCUCUCUUGAGUGGAUCCUGAGUACGACGGAGCACGUGAAAUUCCGUCGGAAUCUGGGAGGACCAUCUCCUAAGGCUAAAUACUCUCUAGUGACCGAUAGUGAACCAGUACCGUGAGGGAAAGGUGAAAAGUACCCCGGAAGGGGAGUGAAAGAGAACUUGAAACCGUGUGCUUACAAGUAGUCAGAGCCCGUUAAUGGGUGAUGGCGUGCCUUUUGUAGAAUGAACCGGCGAGUUACGAUCUGAUGCAAGGUUAAGCAGAAAAUGUGGAGCCGUAGCGAAAGCGAGUCUGAAUAGGGCGAAUGAGUAUUUGGUCGUAGACCCGAAACCAGGUGAUCUACCCUUGGUCAGGUUGAAGUUCAGGUAACACUGAAUGGAGGACCGAACCGACUUACGUUGAAAAGUGAGCGGAUGAACUGAGGGUAGCGGAGAAAUUCCAAUCGAACUUGGAGAUAGCUGGUUCUCUCCGAAAUAGCUUUAGGGCUAGCCUCAAGUGAUGAUUAUUGGAGGUAGAGCACUGUUUGGACGAGGGGCCCCUCUCGGGUUACCGAAUUCAGACAAACUCCGAAUGCCAAAUAAUUUAACUUGGGAGUCAGAAUGUGGGUGAUAAGGUCCAUAUUCGAAAGGGAAACAGCCCAGACCACCAGCUAAGGUCCCAAAAUAUAUGUUAAGUGGAAAAGGAUGUGGCGUUGCCCAGACAACUAGGAUGUUGGCUUAGAAGCAGCCAUCAUUUAAAGAGUGCGUAAUAGCUCACUAGUCGAGUGACACUGCGCCGAAAAUGUACCGGGGCUAAACAUAUUACCGAAGCUGUGGAUUGUCCUUUGGACAAUGGUAGGAGAGCGUUCUAAGGGCGUUGAAGCAUGAUCGCAAGGACAUGUGGAGCGCUUAGAAGUGAGAAUGCCGGUGUGAGUAGCGAAAGACGGGUGAGAAUCCCGUCCACCGAUUGACUAAGGUUUCCAGAGGAAGGCUCGUCCGCUCUGGGUUAGUCGGGUCCUAAGCUGAGGCCGACAGGCGUAGGCGAUGGAUAACAGGUUGAUAUUCCUGUACCACCAUUAUUCGUUUUAAGCGAUGGGGGGACGCAGUAGGAUAGGCGAAGCGUGCUGUUGGAGUGCACGUCCAAGCAGUGAGAUUGAGUGUUAGGCAAAUCCGGCACUCUUAAGAUUGAGCUGUGAUGGGGAGAGGAACUUGUUCCUCGAGUCGUUGAUUUCACACUGCCGAGAAAAGCCUCUAGCUAGAAUAACGGUGCCCGUACCGCAAACCGACACAGGUAGUCAAGAUGAGAAUUCUAAGGUGAGCGAGCGAACUCUCGUUAAGGAACUCGGCAAAAUGACCCCGUAACUUCGGGAGAAGGGGUGCUCUUUGAGGUUCACGCUUCGAAGAGCCGCAGUGAAUAGGCCCAAGCGACUGUUUAUCAAAAACACAGGUCUCUGCUAAACCGUAAGGUGACGUAUAGGGGCUGACGCCUGCCCGGUGCUGGAAGGUUAAGAGGAGUGGUUAGCGCAAGCGAAGCUACGAAUCGAAGCCCCAGUAAACGGCGGCCGUAACUAUAACGGUCCUAAGGUAGCGAAAUUCCUUGUCGGGUAAGUUCCGACCCGCACGAAAGGCGUAACGAUUUGGGCACUGUCUCAACGAGAGACUCGGUGAAAUCAUAGUACC
This 1666-nucleotide ribosomal RNA is filed under the name Staphylococcus pseudintermedius. RNAcentral describes it as "partial 23S ribosomal RNA". It matches the Rfam family "Bacterial large subunit ribosomal RNA", at positions 380 to 2051 of the family's 2925-position model. Lineage: Bacteria; Bacillati; Bacillota; Bacilli; Caryophanales; Staphylococcaceae. The record is from RNAcentral.